RNAcentral lists this unclassified non-coding RNA (343 nucleotides) under Hevea brasiliensis (rubber tree). Lineage: Eukaryota; Viridiplantae; Streptophyta; Magnoliopsida; Malpighiales; Euphorbiaceae. The record is from RNAcentral.
AAAUUACUAUUGGAUAAGCUGCCUAGUUCUGGACAUCCUCAGGAGAAUCAAUCUCAUGUCUCUUGAUAACCAUGGUAUACUUGCAGUCUUCCUAUAUCCAGUAGUUAACCAAACAAAAAACUGAAUAAAAACAUGCUAUAAGGAUGCCCAUAAGAAGAUGCACCAACAUGAAAGUACAAUAACCACCAGCUCAUGCCAAACUCAAACAAGUUUGAGAUCACGAAACUUAAAAACUUGAGUCAUAUAAAGGUCAAAUAUAAGAGAGCAGCAAAAAAUAGAAGUCAAAAUUUCCAGAAAACUAAAUGUAAAUGUAAAAUUAUACCUGAUGUUAGAGGUAUCCAGU